GACGAACGCUGGCGGCGUGCUUUAGGCAUGCAAGUCGAACGCGAAAGCCCCUUCGGGGGUGAGUAGAGUGGCGAACGGGUGAGUAACACGUGGGUAACCUGCCCCUCGCAGGGGGAUAACCGGGGGAAACCCCGGCUAAUACCCCGUACGCUUGCUGGGGCGCAUGCUCCGGCAAGGAAAGGUAGCUUCGGCCAUCCGGCGAGGGAGGGGCCCGCGGCCCAUUAGCUAGUUGGUGGGGUAACGGCCCACCAAGGCGACGAUGGGUAGCUGGCCUGAGAGGGUGGUCAGCCACGCUGGGACUGAGACACGGCCCAGACUCCUACGGGAGGCAGCAGCCAGGAAUCUUGCGCAAUGGGCGAAAGCCUGACGCAGCAACGCCGCGUGGGCGAUGAAGGCCUUCGGGUCGUAAAGCCCUGUUGUCGGGGACGAAGGGCGAAGGGUUAAUAGCCCCUAGCCUGACGGUACCCGACGAGGAAGCCCCGGCUAACUACGUG
This 494-nucleotide ribosomal RNA is filed under the name uncultured bacterium. Its description in RNAcentral is "partial 16S ribosomal RNA". It matches the Rfam family "Bacterial small subunit ribosomal RNA", at positions 28 to 507 of the family's 1533-position model. The record is from RNAcentral.